UCUACAUGAUAUUGCCAGCCAAACAUGGAAUUCAACAUAGAAACUAUCUUGGGCUCCAACAAAGAGAUCACUGAAGUGCCAAAGGCCUCCAGCGUGAGCAUCUCAUGAUAUACAGGGGACUACAGCAUAUUCUAUAGAAUUGGUUUGAACAGUGAAGAAGGUGGAUGGUGGUUAGAGUAAAUAUUUAUCCUCCUCAAAGUUUCUUGAACCCAUGGCCAUCAGCCCACUCAUUGAAUGCUGCAUGUCCUUGAAGCACCAUUGACCUGACCCUUGCUGCAUGAGGACUCACCAGGGAAAUACCCCUCAUGACAGCCUGAGACUCUGGCCCCCAAGUUUCAGUGUCUAAGCUUGUGGGACUGGACCACAUAGAGAAUGCAUUUUGCUAGAACCUGAGGUUGCCAGGACCUGGAAUCCAAACAAGUUCCCAGAAGUACUUUGAUUUCUCCAUACCAAAUCCAUGGUCACCAUAUUGCAAAAUGAUGGUGGUCACAUUCAUAUUCUCACUACGGAUCCUGCACUUUUUUCAUUGUGUUGACUUCCUUUGUCAUGGCGGAGCUUUGCAUGGUCUGGGACGAUAAGGACCUCGGGAUUUCAGCAUCAAUUAGUAGAGACUCUCCCUCCUUGCUUUCAGUUCUCAAAUCAGUAACCAACGAGCAGCAUCACAUGGAGAACCCCAAGCAAAGGUCUCCGGUGGCAGUCCCUGGGAUGUUCUAGCUUUGGUGUUCCUCAGAGUUUGUAAUUAGGUUUAUAUCCCUUGCCUUAAUAAUCAAAGGGUCCAAAAUCAUAACUUCAAAGUGCAAUGGAAGAAAAUAAUAUUUUAUCCAACAACUGCAAUGAACACAGGCUGAUGUCUCAAAUUUAUUCCAUUCAUGAUUCUUCAAACCAGAAAAGAUGUGUCAACAUAGAUAUGGUCUUUAUUGCAGGGAACCAAUGCCAUGACUGUGUGUACUGUUGAUUCCCAGUCACUGAAGCCAGUUUCCUAUUUGUGGAGCAAGGACAUUUUGCACAAAGCUCUUCUGUUAGAUAAUGGCAAGUAAUACCUUAUCUAUAGCUGAAAGUCUUAAUAUGAAAGUUUCUACCUCUUACAAGAGAGGCAGCCUUGGUCCCCCACCAGUGGGAUCCAGUUGUCUCUGCCCAUUUGUGGAGUAACUUGGAGGACAGGAAUCUGGUUUGCUGAAAGACCAUGGGGUGGAGAGCUUACUACAGUGCUGAUGCCCAGAGGAAUGCUGGGAGGUGGGGGUUGAAGACACAGACAUGUGACAGCUUGGGUCCCUGAAUGGCGGUGUGGAGCAGAGACUUCCCCUCAGCACAAGCUCUACACUGUGCACGAGAGUGACCCCGUCUGUUUGUAGCUGCAGCUUCCUCUGCCCCUGGUAUUCCCAAUGCUGACUCCGUGUUGCUUGAUUCUCGAAUGGAUGUUUGAGCAGCCAUCAAAUCAUGUCUGAGGUCUGUCACCGAGGUGAAGUCACAUAAAUCAGG
Long non-coding RNA from Mustela lutreola (European mink), 1479 nucleotides. RefSeq lists it as uncharacterized. The record is from RefSeq and is a predicted model, not a curated record. Lineage: Eukaryota; Metazoa; Chordata; Mammalia; Carnivora; Mustelidae. The transcript is spliced from 3 exons.